GGCGAGUGANCGGCAACAGCUCANAUUUGAAAGCUAGCCUUCGGGUUCGCAUUGUAAUUUGUAGAGGAUGAUUUGGGGAAGCCGCCUGUCUAAGUUCCUUGGAACAGGACGUCAUAGAGGGUGAGAAUCCCGUAUGUGACAGGAAAUGGCACCCUAUGUAAAUCUCCUUCGACGAGUCGAGUUGUUUGGGAAUGCAGCUCUAAAUGGGAGGUAAAUUUCUUCUAAAGCUAAAUAUUGGCGAGAGACCGAUAGCGCACAAGUAGAGUGAUCGAAAGAUGAAAAGCACUUUGGAAAGAGAGUUAAAAAGCACGUGAAAUUGUUGAAAGGGAAGCGCUUGCAAUCAGACUUGUUUAAACUGUUCGGCCGGUCUUCUGACCGGUUUACUCAGUUUGGACAGGCCAGCAUCAGUUUCGGCGGCCGGAUAAAGGCUCUGGGAAUGUGGCCUCCACUUCGGUGGAGGUGUUAUAGCCCAGGGUGUAAUACGGCCAGCCGGGACUGAGGUCCGCGCUUCGGCUAGGAUGCUGGCGUAAUGGUUGUAAGCGACCCGUCUUGAAACCACG
Molecule: ribosomal RNA, 560 nt
Filed under: Aureobasidium pullulans
Lineage: Eukaryota; Fungi; Ascomycota; Dothideomycetes; Dothideales; Saccotheciaceae
Description: eukaryotic LSU rRNA
Rfam family: Eukaryotic large subunit ribosomal RNA
Source: RNAcentral